Molecule: ribosomal RNA, 609 nt
Filed under: Staphylococcus pseudintermedius
Lineage: Bacteria; Bacillati; Bacillota; Bacilli; Caryophanales; Staphylococcaceae
Description: partial 23S ribosomal RNA
Rfam family: Bacterial large subunit ribosomal RNA
Source: RNAcentral
CCUUUUGUAGAAUGAACCGGCGAGUUACGAUCUGAUGCAAGGUUAAGCAGAAAAUGUGGAGCCGUAGCGAAAGCGAGUCUGAAUAGGGCGAAUGAGUAUUUGGUCGUAGACCCGAAACCAGGUGAUCUACCCUUGGUCAGGUUGAAGUUCAGGUAACACUGAAUGGAGGACCGAACCGACUUACGUUGAAAAGUGAGCGGAUGAACUGAGGGUAGCGGAGAAAUUCCAAUCGAACUUGGAGAUAGCUGGUUCUCUCCGAAAUAGCUUUAGGGCUAGCCUCAAGUGAUGAUUAUUGGAGGUAGAGCACUGUUUGGACGAGGGGCCCCUCUCGGGUUACCGAAUUCAGACAAACUCCGAAUGCCAAAUAAUUUAACUUGGGAGUCAGAAUGUGGGUGAUAAGGUCCAUAUUCGAAAGGGAAACAGCCCAGACCACCAGCUAAGGUCCCAAAAUAUAUGUUAAGUGGAAAAGGAUGUGGCGUUGCCCAGACAACUAGGAUGUUGGCUUAGAAGCAGCCAUCAUUUAAAGAGUGCGUAAUAGCUCACUAGUCGAGUGACACUGCGCCGAAAAUGUACCGGGGCUAAACAUAUUACCGAAGCUGUGGAUUGUCC